CGUGCAGGCCAGGUCAUCGCUCCGUUGGUGCCGAUGUCGGGGAUUCGCCCCGACUACGUCGGCAUCCGCGGUGAGGAAAGUCCGAACACCACAGGGCCCCGUGCUUCCUAACCGGAAGGCUGCAUCGCCUCCGAUCGUUGUCGAGGCGGUGCGGAAGGCACGUGCAACAGAGAGCAGACCCGCCCCGAUCUCGGGACCUUGUCCCGACAACGGUCGGGGAAAGGGGUGAAAGGGUGUGGUAAGAGCGCACCGGCGGCUCCGGUGACGGAGCCGGCCAGGCAAACCCUACGGGGUGAAAGGCCAAGUCGCACCGUGUGCUCCUCGCUGGCUUGCCAGCGUUCAGCAGCACGAAGGUCGCCCGCCGAUGAUCCGGACGUCCAUCCGUGACCCCGGAUAACGGUGCAGGUAGGCCGCUUGAGGCGGUUGGCGACAACCGUCCCAGAUAGAUGAUGACCUCCCCGGCGCCGACACGGCGAUGCCGGCCCGGGUAGACCAAAUUCGGCUUAUAGGCCCGUACGUUUC
Molecule: RNase P RNA, 522 nt
Filed under: Salinibacter sp. 10B
Lineage: Bacteria; Pseudomonadati; Rhodothermota; Rhodothermia; Rhodothermales; Salinibacteraceae
Description: RNase P RNA component class A
Rfam family: Bacterial RNase P class A
About the family: Ribonuclease P (RNase P) is a ubiquitous endoribonuclease, found in archaea, bacteria and eukarya as well as chloroplasts and mitochondria. Its best characterised activity is the generation of mature 5'-ends of tRNAs by cleaving the 5'-leader elements of precursor-tRNAs.
Source: RNAcentral